CAGUAGCCACGGUAAUACGAAGGGGGCUAGCGUUGCUCGGAAUUACUGGGCGUGAAGCGCACGUAGGCGGACUCUUAAGUCAGGGGUGAAAUCCUGGAGCUCAACUCCAGAACUGCCUUUGAUACUGGGUAUCUUGAGUAUGGAAGAGGUGAGUGGAAUUCCGAGUGUAGAGGUGAAAUUCGUAGAUAUUCGGAGGAACACCAGUGGUGAAGGCGGCUCACUGGUCCAUUACUGACGCUGAGGUGCGAAAGCGUGGGGAGCAAACAGGAUUAGAUACCCGCGUAGUCCCUGUCUCUUAUAU
RNAcentral lists this ribosomal RNA (301 nucleotides) under uncultured bacterium. RNAcentral's name for it is "partial 16S ribosomal RNA". It matches the Rfam family "Bacterial small subunit ribosomal RNA", at positions 509 to 809 of the family's 1533-position model. The record is from RNAcentral.